This 848-nucleotide small RNA is filed under the name Pongo abelii (Sumatran orangutan). Its description in RNAcentral is "processed transcript". Lineage: Eukaryota; Metazoa; Chordata; Mammalia; Primates; Hominidae. The record is from RNAcentral.
AAUGAGGAUGCCACUCAGACCAGAGGGACAAACACCACAGCCAGUCCUGCCACAGCCCUGCCACAAAAAACCUGUGAACUUAUGAAUCAAGGCAUCUUGGCCCUGGUCAGCUCCAUUGGCUGCACGUCAGCAGGCUCCCUCCAGUCUUUGGCAGACGCCAUGCAUAUCCCACACCUCUUCAUUCAGCGCUCAACAGCUGGGACCCCAAGGAGUGGCUGUGGACUCACCCGGAGCAACAGGAAUGAUGACUACACUCUCUCAGUUCGCCCACCUGUCUACUUGCAUGACGUUAUCCUAAGAGUGGUCACAGAGUAUGCCUGGCAGAAAUUCAUUAUAUUCUAUGAUAGUGAAUAUGAUAUCCGUGGAAUACAGGAGUUCUUGGACAAAGUGUCUCAGCAGGGAAUGGAUGUUGCACUUCAGAAGGUAGAAAACAACAUCAAUAAAAUGAUCACCACUCUCUUUGACACCAUGAGAAUAGAAGAACUGAAUCGCUAUCGAGACACUCUUAGGCGAGCGAUCCUUGUUAUGAAUCCUGCUACAGCCAAAUCCUUCAUUACUGAGGAAACUUCAUUAUGCAGUUUAAAGACAAAUAUAAACAUUUUACUUUUUGAGUUCAGCAAAUGACUUAGGGAAUCUUAUUGAACUACUACAUUUUUUCAUAAUAUAAAAUAUUUACAAUUUUAAAGAAGUUGGUUCUUUCCUUCAAGAAACACAAAUCUGGAAGAUGGAAGCAAGUCCACAGAGGAUGUAAUAUAAAUUAGGAUGUUAAAAUUGCAGUAGAGGAGGUUGAAGCAUCUAUGGUUAUUUUUGUUGGAGGAGAUCAGAGAAAACUUCACUGAGCAGGUAUA